CAACUCCUGAGCUACCCAAGGAGGUGCCAAUUUAUCCAAAAAAUCAUUGACUAAGGUUUCGGGAAUACUACUAUUACUAUUUUCAGAAAAAGCAGAUCUAAAUCUUCUGAUGGAACUCCACACAACAGUGGAUGGAGUGUUUGGAGAGACAGAAGUACAAAAUUUUCUCCAACUCUCAAAUUUUUUAUUCUUGAACAGUUUACGAGUAUCCGCAAUAGCUUUAGAUAAUAAUUGAAAAUUUGUAUCAGACAUGUCAUUUCUAUAAUUUUUCUCUGCUAUUUUCCUUUGCCUAACAGCCUCCGUACAUGCACUGUCCCACCAUGGGGGAGAAGGGAUUUUACGUGGCGAAUUAUUUUUAAUUGGAAAGACUUCUUUGGCAGCCUCUGUUAAAACGUGCGCUAGAGCUUCAGCACAAGCUAUUUCAUUACCAGGACUGAAAUUUGGGAGGGAAGAAAUCCUAUUUAUUACACUGCUUCUAUACUUAGUCCAAAGAUCACUAUCAUGGCUAUUGGGUAACUUAAAGGGAGAUCUAGAUAUUUGUUUGGAAGCUGAAACUUUAAAAUUAGGGAAAUAAAUGACUAUGGGGUAGUGAUCACUGCCAAAAGAUGACAAUAAAACCUCCCAAGUCAAUAAAGGCGCAAGAUUUGGUGUACAUAUAGAUAGGUCUACUGCACUGCUACUUUGGUUGGGUUGUGAACGGCGAGUUGGAGUACCAGAAUUUAAUAUAAAAAGGUUUUGAGAAUCUAAUACAUCUGCUAGUUCCUCGCCAUAACUAUUAGUAAAUGAACUUCCCCAGGACUGAUGAUGUGAGUUAAAGUCACCUAAAACUAUGUAAGGUCUAGGUAACAGAGAAAAAAUAUCAUUUAAGACACUGAAAAUGUCAGAUGAAGGAUAGGGAAUAUAUACAGAUACAAAACAUACAUUAUUUACAUUUACAGCUACUAUAGACAUAUUUACAUUAUGAGCAGGAAGAGAGAUUGAGGUGAAUGGUAGGCUAUUUUUUAUUAAUAAUGCAGCACCACCAUAACCAUCAGGUCGAUCAUCUCUUACUACUGAAUAACCUUUUAUUUUAAAACUGUACAUUGGUUUGAGCCAUGUCUCUGCCAAGGCAAAGACAGAGGGCUCGAACUUGUUCAAUAAAUAAAUCAAAUCUGACUUUUUGUUAAUAAUGCUGCGGCUAUUCCACUGCAGCACUGUCGCCAGCGUAUCCAUUUUUAACUACUUCUAAACAUUUAUCAAUUAUAUUAGCAGCGUGGGACGGUGAUGGGUUGGAUUGAGUUAACUGGAUUAAUGAAAUAAUUAAAUUAAUUAGGGUAAAUUGUUGACUGUUAAGUGAUUCCUGCUCUUUUUCUGAGGUUAGAGCACAGCCAUUUGAGGGGGUAGGUAUAGCAAAUUCUCUGAUAAGGGCAUUAUGAGCCUCUUGAUCAUAACCCUUGGUUAAUUGUGGAGUUGACCUUGGUUUCAUAAAAACUGUUUUUUUAUAUGAUAAAUUAUUAUUUACAUUAUUAUUUACAUUCUUAUCUACAUACUUAAUAGAUGAUGUUGAAGGGCUAGCUUUAGAGGUAAGAACAUCAGCAUAUGAUUUGGAGACAGGUGGGUGAAUUUUGGAAGCCUCUGCAUAAGAGAUACUAUUGUUGGCCAUAGAGGUCUUGAUGUUCUUUUGCCUUAAGAAUUCUGGACAAGAUUUAUUAGUUGCAAAAUGAUACCCACUGCAUAAGCAACAAGUAGCAUCCUCCUCAUCAACCUGGCAAGAUUCACCGGUGUGUGAUUGACCACAUUUGUAACACCGAGGCUUUGACCUACAUUGAAGUUUAGUAUGACCAAACCUACAACAAUUGUAGCACUGUAUGGUUGGAUACACAUAUAAAUCAACUGGCAGAGUGUUAUAGCACAUGUAAAUUCGCUUUGGCAGUAUUUGACCAUCAAAAGUCACUACUACGGACUGUGAAGGUUUCCACACAGGAGUUUUCCGAAAAUAACAGGGUGCAGUGUGGUUCCAGAGUCAGGUGAGACGAUACAGUAACAAAACUGGC
Long non-coding RNA from Ostrinia nubilalis (European corn borer), 2033 nucleotides. RefSeq lists it as uncharacterized. NCBI's taxonomy places the organism in Eukaryota, Metazoa, Arthropoda, Insecta, Lepidoptera, Crambidae. The transcript has 3 exons. The record is from RefSeq and is a predicted model, not a curated record.